Molecule: ribosomal RNA, 425 nt
Filed under: uncultured bacterium
Lineage: Bacteria
Description: bacterial SSU rRNA
Rfam family: Bacterial small subunit ribosomal RNA
Source: RNAcentral
GUGGGGAAUAUUGGACAAUGGGCGAAAGCCUGAUCCAGCAAUGCCGCGUGAGUGAUGAAGGCCCUAGGGUUGUAAAGCUCUUUUACCCGGGAUGAUAAUGACAGUACCGGGAGAAUAAGCUCCGGCUAACUUCGUGCCAGCAGCCGCGGUAAUACGAGGGGAGCUAGCGUUGUUCGGAAUUACUGGGCGUAAAGCGCGCGUAGGCGGUUUUUUAAGUCAGAGGUGAAAGCCCGGGGCUCAACCCCGGAAUUGCCUUUGAAACUGGAAAACUAGAAUCUUGGAGAGGUCAGUGGAAUUCCGAGUGUAGAGGUGAAAUUCGUAGAUAUUCGGAAGAACACCAGUGGCGAAGGCGACUGACUGGACAAGUAUUGACGCUGAGGUGCGAAAGCGUGGGGAGCAAACAGGAUUAGAUACCCGUGUAGUCC